AGGAUCAAAAACUAUAAUCAAUAUGCGAUCGAAUUGUGAAUUGCCCACAAAAGAUCGGCGAAACAGAAAUUGUUGUACGCCAAUCUGCAGGAUCGUCGACUUAUACGAUUUUCCGAUGCAUAGAGAGCUAAUCUUCAAUUGUCGGCUGCAUUAAUCUUGAAUUUGCCGCCGCCAAGGUUUUUCCGAUACUUUAGGAUGAUAAUUCUUCAAUUGCCGCUACCAAAUUUCCUCUAAUCAGCGAUCGAAUGUUUUUUCCGAUGAGCUACCGAGCAAAGAUUCCUCCGAUGCGAUAGUGAGAGAAGAAAGAGCUUCAAAAAUC
RNAcentral lists this unclassified non-coding RNA (319 nucleotides) under Hevea brasiliensis (rubber tree). Lineage: Eukaryota; Viridiplantae; Streptophyta; Magnoliopsida; Malpighiales; Euphorbiaceae. The record is from RNAcentral.